Molecule: transfer RNA, 87 nt
Filed under: Leptolyngbya sp. Cla-17
Lineage: Bacteria; Bacillati; Cyanobacteriota; Cyanophyceae; Leptolyngbyales; Leptolyngbyaceae
Description: tRNA-Ser
Source: RNAcentral
GGAGGUUGUCCGGCAUGGACGAGGAAAGCGUCUUGAAAACGCCUGCGGGUGAGACCGUCAAGAGUUCGAUUCUCUUAGCCUCCGCCA